GAGUCGUAACAAGGUUUCCGUAGGUGAACCUGCGGAAGGAUCAUUAACUAUUGCACCUGUGCAUUAACCAUUGUGAACCGAGGCCUGUGUGGUCUUUGGGACCUUGGUCUCAGAGACCCCAAGGUCUUACACUGUGCAAACAGUGACAUAUACCUUUAAAGAGCCUGAUUUCAUAAAUUUUAAAAAAAAACAAUUUUUAACAAUGGAUCUCUUGGCUCUUGCAACGAUGAAGAACGCAGUGAAUUGCGAUAAGUAAUGUGAAUUGCAUUAUUCUGUGAAUCAUCGAAUCUUUGAACGCAUUUUGCGCUCUUUGGGUUAACCAGAGAGCAUAUCUGUUCGAGUAUCAGAAAAUACUAUCCUCUUCUGAGAGGGAUUUGAGGGUUCAGUGUCAACUGUCCUUUGAAAUGUAUACAGAGAGCCAUCUUGCUCAAGUGUGGUAAAAGACGGAUGUUCUUUCCCACUGUCACAUGAUGUGUUUUCGUUGUAUGUGGGGGUGUAUACGGUGUACUUAUACCCUAUAUACUCUCAAUCCGUACUCUAUGAUCUCGAAUCAGAUAAGACUACCCGCUGAACUUAA
This 577-nucleotide ribosomal RNA is filed under the name uncultured fungus. RNAcentral describes it as "eukaryotic LSU rRNA". The stretch from base 192 to 346 matches the Rfam family "5.8S ribosomal RNA". Lineage: Eukaryota; Fungi. The record is from RNAcentral.